This 2137-nucleotide ribosomal RNA is filed under the name Escherichia coli. RNAcentral describes it as "bacterial LSU rRNA". It matches the Rfam family "Bacterial large subunit ribosomal RNA", at positions 811 to 2925 of the family's 2925-position model. Lineage: Bacteria; Pseudomonadati; Pseudomonadota; Gammaproteobacteria; Enterobacterales; Enterobacteriaceae. The record is from RNAcentral.
GUGGCUGGGGGUGAAAGGCCAAUCAAACCGGGAGAUAGCUGGUUCUCCCCGAAAGCUAUUUAGGUAGCGCCUCGUGAAUUCAUCUCCGGGGGUAGAGCACUGUUUCGGCAAGGGGGUCAUCCCGACUUACCAACCCGAUGCAAACUACGAAUACCGGAGAAUGUUAUCACGGGAGACACACGGCGGGUGCUAACGUCCGUCGUGAAGAGGGAAACAACCCAGACCGCCAGCUAAGGUCCCAAAGUCAUGGUUAAGUGGGAAACGAUGUGGGAAGGCCCAGACAGCCAGGAUGUUGGCUUAGAAGCAGCCAUCAUUUAAAGAAAGCGUAAUAGCUCACUGGUCGAGUCGGCCUGCGCGGAAGAUGUAACGGGGCUAAACCAUGCACCGAAGCUGCGGCAGCGACGCUUAUGCGUUGUUGGGUAGGGGAGCGUUCUGUAAGCCUGUGAAGGUGUACUGUGAGGUAUGCUGGAGGUAUCAGAAGUGCGAAUGCUGACAUAAGUAACGAUAAAGCGGGUGAAAAGCCCGCUCGCCGGAAGACCAAGGGUUCCUGUCCAACGUUAAUCGGGGCAGGGUGAGUCGACCCCUAAGGCGAGGCCGAAAGGCGUAGUCGAUGGGAAACAGGUUAAUAUUCCUGUACUUGGUGUUACUGCGAAGGGGGGACGGAGAAGGCUAUGUUGGCCGGGCGACGGUUGUCCCGGUUUAAGCGUGUAGGCUGGUUUUCCAGGCAAAUCCGGAAAAUCAAGGCUGAGGCGUGAUGACGAGGCACUACGGUGCUGAAGCAACAAAUGCCCUGCUUCCAGGAAAAGCCUCUAAGCAUCAGGUAACAUCAAAUCGUACCCCAAACCGACACAGGUGGUCAGGUAGAGAAUACCAAGGCGCUUGAGAGAACUCGGGUGAAGGAACUAGGCAAAAUGGUGCCGUAACUUCGGGAGAAGGCACGCUGAUAUGUAGGUGAAGUCCCUCGCGGAUGGAGCUGAAAUCAGUCGAAGAUACCAGCUGGCUGCAACUGUUUAUUAAAAACACAGCACUGUGCAAACACGAAAGUGGACGUAUACGGUGUGACGCCUGCCCGGUGCCGGAAGGUUAAUUGAUGGGGUUAGCGCAAGCGAAGCUCUUGAUCGAAGCCCCGGUAAACGGCGGCCGUAACUAUAACGGUCCUAAGGUAGCGAAAUUCCUUGUCGGGUAAGUUCCGACCUGCACGAAUGGCGUAAUGAUGGCCAGGCUGUCUCCACCCGAGACUCAGUGAAAUUGAACUCGCUGUGAAGAUGCAGUGUACCCGCGGCAAGACGGAAAGACCCCGUGAACCUUUACUAUAGCUUGACACUGAACAUUGAGCCUUGAUGUGUAGGAUAGGUGGGAGGCUUUGAAGUGUGGACGCCAGUCUGCAUGGAGCCGACCUUGAAAUACCACCCUUUAAUGUUUGAUGUUCUAACGUGGACCCGUAAUCCGGGUUGCGGACAGUGUCUGGUGGGUAGUUUGACUGGGGCGGUCUCCUCCUAAAGAGUAACGGAGGAGCACGAAGGUUGGCUAAUCCUGGUCGGACAUCAGGAGGUUAGUGCAAUGGCAUAAGCCAGCUUGACUGCGAGCGUGACGGCGCGAGCAGGUGCGAAAGCAGGUCAUAGUGAUCCGGUGGUUCUGAAUGGAAGGGCCAUCGCUCAACGGAUAAAAGGUACUCCGGGGAUAACAGGCUGAUACCGCCCAAGAGUUCAUAUCGACGGCGGUGUUUGGCACCUCGAUGUCGGCUCAUCACAUCCUGGGGCUGAAGUAGGUCCCAAGGGUAUGGCUGUUCGCCAUUUAAAGUGGUACGCGAGCUGGGUUUAGAACGUCGUGAGACAGUUCGGUCCCUAUCUGCCGUGGGCGCUGGAGAACUGAGGGGGGCUGCUCCUAGUACGAGAGGACCGGAGUGGACGCAUCACUGGUGUUCGGGUUGUCAUGCCAAUGGCACUGCCCGGUAGCUAAAUGCGGAAGAGAUAAGUGCUGAAAGCAUCUAAGCACGAAACUUGCCCCGAGAUGAGUUCUCCCUGACCCUUUAAGGGUCCUGAAGGAACGUUGAAGACGACGACGUUGAUAGGCCGGGUGUGUAAGCGCAGCGAUGCGUUGAGCUAACCGGUACUAAUGAACCGUGAGGCUUAACCUU